GACGAACGCUGGCGGCGUGCCUAAUACAUGCAAGUCGAACGCACAGUUUAUACCGUAGCUUGCUACACCAUAGACUGUGAGUUGCGAACGGGUGAGUAACGCGUAGGUAACCUGCCUGGUAGCGGGGGAUAACUAUUGGAAACGAUAGCUAAUACCGCAUAAUAUUGAUUAUUGCAUGAUAAUUGAUUGAAAGAUGCUAUUGCAUCACUACCAGAUGGACCUGCGUUGUAUUAGCUAGUAGGUGAGGUAACGGCUCACCUAGGCGACGAUACAUAGCCGACCUGGAGGGGUGGUCGGCCACACUGGGACUGAGACACGGCCCAGACUCCUACGGGAGGGAGCAGGAGGGAAUCUUCGGCAAUGGACGAAAGUCUGACCGAGCAACGCCGCGGGAGGGAAGAAGGGUUUCGGAUCGUAAAGCUCUGUUGUAAGAGAAGAACGGGUGUGAGAGUGGAAAGUUCACACUGUGACGGUAGCUUACCAGAAAGGGACGGCUAACUACGUG
RNAcentral lists this ribosomal RNA (505 nucleotides) under uncultured bacterium. RNAcentral's name for it is "partial 16S ribosomal RNA". It matches the Rfam family "Bacterial small subunit ribosomal RNA", at positions 28 to 507 of the family's 1533-position model. The record is from RNAcentral.